This 1536-nucleotide ribosomal RNA is filed under the name Triticum aestivum (bread wheat). RNAcentral's name for it is "partial small subunit ribosomal RNA". Lineage: Eukaryota; Viridiplantae; Streptophyta; Magnoliopsida; Poales; Poaceae. The record is from RNAcentral.
AUGGGUGCUUCUGCUGCCUUCUUCUACCUCCUGCUGUCCCUCUGGGUUCAGGAUGCAGCUGCAGCUGGUCUUGGCUUCACAAGAAGUGAUUUUCCACGGGGAUUCGUCUUUGGAUCUGGAACCUCGGCAUAUCAAUAUGAGGGUGCUGUUUCUGAGGGAGGCAGGAGCCCAAGCUAUUGGGACACUUUCACUCACGCAGGCAAAAUGUCAGACAAAAGCACGGGAGAUGUUGCUGCAGAUGGGUACCAUAAAUACAUGGAGGAUGUCAAGCUCAUGUCUGAGACAGGCCUAGAGGCCUAUAGGUUCUCCAUCUCCUGGUCAAGGCUCAUUCCAAAUGGCCGCGGAGCUGUCAACCCCAAAGGGCUACAGUACUACAAUAACCUCAUUGAUGAGCUAGUGAAUCAUGGAAUUCAAGUCCAUAUCACACUUCACCAUAUAGAUCUCCCUCAGAUUCUUGAAGAUGAGUAUGGUGGAUGGUUAAGCCCCAGAAUUGUUGAAGAUUUCACAGCAUAUGCAGAUGUUUGCUUCAAGGAGUUUGGAGAUAGGGUUGCAUCAUGGACGACAAUGAAUGAGCCAAACAUUGGUGCAUUGGCCUCUUAUGAUGUUGCUAUAUUCCCUCCUGGUCGUUGCUCGGAUCCAUUUGGAGUAACAAAGUGCACCUCUGGGGACUCUAGUGUGGAACCAUACAUAGCAGCUCAUAAUACCCUUUUGGCGCAUGCAACGGUUGUCAGUCUGUACAGAAAAAAAUAUCAAGCCAUGCAAAACGGAGUUGUUGGCAUAAGUAUUUACUCUUUCUGGAGUUAUCCAUUGACAAAUUCCACUGUGGAUUUAGAAGCAACUAGGAGAUGUAUAGAUUUCUACUUUGGCUGGAUACUAAAUCCGUUGGUGUUUGGGGACUACCCACAAGCAAUGAAGAAGAAUGUUGGCUCUCGCCUUCCACCCUUCACGGAAGUUCAGUCUGAACUUAUCAAGGGUUCUUUAGAUUUUAUUGGAAUAAAUCACUACUACUCUCUCUACGUGAAUGAUCGCCCUCUGGAAACAGGCGUUCGAGACUACAAAGCAGACAUGUCAGUUAGUUUAAGGGGUUCUAGGAUAGACCCACCAUCUACUCAGGGCCCCCCAACAAAUGUUCCAAGUGAUCCCAAAGGGUUGCAGCUUCAGCUGGGGUACCUGAAAGAAACCUAUGGGAACCUUCCCGUCUAUGUCCAAGAGAAUGGCAUGGGAACCGCCGCCGACGGUCUGGAUGACACCGAAAGGGUCAGUUACCUGAGCAGCUACAUGGAGAGCACACUGAACGCGAUGAGGAACGGGGCCGACGUGAGAGGCUAUUUCGCCUGGGCAUUCAUGGAUUUGUUUGAGCUCCUGUCCGGGUACCAGUCGAGGUACGGGCUGUACCGGGUCGACUUUGCUGACGAGAGGCUGCCGCGGCAAGCUAGGCUCUCGGCUCGCUGGUACUCCGCCUUCCUCAAGCACAACGGAAGCUCUGCCCUGGUGUCGAGAACGCCGGUGAACCAGGCCCUGAACUCGGGGUCCUGA